This 253-nucleotide ribosomal RNA is filed under the name uncultured bacterium. RNAcentral describes it as "partial 16S ribosomal RNA". It matches the Rfam family "Bacterial small subunit ribosomal RNA", at positions 524 to 776 of the family's 1533-position model. The record is from RNAcentral.
GACGGAGGGCGCAAACGUUGUUCGGAAUCACUGGGCGUAAAGGGCGCGUAGGCGGGACUGUAAGUCCGAGGUGAAAGCCCGGGGCUCAACCCCGGGACUGCCUUGGAAACUGCAGUCCUCGAGUGCAGGAGAGGAAGGCGGAAUUCCAGGUGUAGCGGUGGAAUGCGUAGAUAUCAGGAGGAACACCAGCGGCGAAGGCGGCGCUCUGGGCCGGAACUGACGCUGAGGAGCGAAAGCGUGGGGAGCAAACAGG